RNAcentral lists this ribosomal RNA (234 nucleotides) under uncultured prokaryote. Its description in RNAcentral is "partial 16S ribosomal RNA". It matches the Rfam family "Bacterial small subunit ribosomal RNA", at positions 524 to 757 of the family's 1533-position model. The record is from RNAcentral.
UACGUAGGGUGCGAGCGUUAAUCGGAAUUACUGGGCGUAAAGCGUGCGCAGGCGGCGCGUUAAGACAGGUGUGAAAGCCCCGAGCUUAACUUGGGAAUUGCGCUUGUGACUGGCGUGCUGGAGUGUGGCAGAGGGAGGUGGAAUUCCACGUGUAGCAGUGAAAUGCGUAGAGAUCCGGAGGAACACCGACGGCGUAGGCAGCGCCCUGGCCGUUUCCUGACGCUGAAGCACGAA